AGUGAACGCUGGCGGUAGGCCUAACACAUGCAAGUCGAACGGCAGCACAGGAGAGCUUGCUCUCUGGGUGGCGAGUGGCGGACGGGUGAGGAAUACAUCGGAAUCUACUCUGUCGUGGGGGAUAACGUAGGGAAACUUACGCUAAUACCGCAUACGAACUACGGGUGAAAGCAGGGGACCUUCGGGCCUUGCGCGAUUGAAUGAGCCGAUGUCGGAUUAGCUAGUUGGCGGGGUAAAGGACCACCAAGGCGACGAUCCGUAGCUGGUCUGAGAGGAUGAUCAGCCACACUGGAACUGAGACACGGUCCAGACUCCUACGGGAGGCAGCAGUGGGGAAUAUUGGACAAUGGGCGCAAGCCUGAUCCAGCCAUACCGCGUGGGUGAAGAAGGCCUUCGGGUUGUAAAGCCCUUUUGUUGGGAAAGAAAUCCAGCUGGCUAAUACCCGGUUGGGAUGACGGUACCCAAAGAAUAAGCACCGGCUAACUCCGGGCCAGCCGCCGCCGUAA
This 506-nucleotide ribosomal RNA is filed under the name uncultured bacterium. RNAcentral describes it as "partial 16S ribosomal RNA". It matches the Rfam family "Bacterial small subunit ribosomal RNA", at positions 29 to 523 of the family's 1533-position model. The record is from RNAcentral.